Molecule: long non-coding RNA, 549 nt
Organism: Contarinia nasturtii (swede midge)
Lineage: Eukaryota; Metazoa; Arthropoda; Insecta; Diptera; Cecidomyiidae
Exons: 2
Source: RefSeq, a predicted model, not a curated record
UGUCAAAACCAUAUCUGUCCGAUUGUCAAUGUCUCUGUUGAUUACUUCGUCUUAUAAAUUACAAAAUAUUAUUUUUGAGAUCUUUGAAAAGUUUCGCUAUGAGUCAUCCACAAAAAAAUCCGAAAUUGUCACACUCAGAUAACCAAAAUCAUAACGAAGAGCCGGUGGCAGGUCCAUCAAACGAGGAAUCUCCGCCGAAAAUAUUCAAAUUGAACAUCGAUUGCUUUGACGAGAUAUUUGAAUAUUUGAACGUGAAAGACUUGCAUUCAUUCGGUCUAACAUGUAAGCGUUUGAACAAAGUGGCCGGCGAAUACUUCAAACAAAAUUAUUCAUCGGCUGAUAAUAUAAUGUGGGACAAAGAUGGACUUUACAUGUGUGAUUGGGAUAAAGAUGACAUACAAGACCGUAUAUUUGGUUUUAAUAAGUUCAUUCCGUGUAUUUCAUAUUUUCAUGACGAUUUCAGCCGCUUUACAUAUACUAAAUCUCAUAUCAAUGAGUUUGAGUCAGUUAAUAAAAUUUAUCUAGCGGAAAUAGAUAUUUAUAACGAAA